This 253-nucleotide ribosomal RNA is filed under the name uncultured bacterium. RNAcentral's name for it is "partial 16S ribosomal RNA". It matches the Rfam family "Bacterial small subunit ribosomal RNA", at positions 524 to 776 of the family's 1533-position model. The record is from RNAcentral.
UACAGGGGGUGCAAACGUUGCUCGGAAUCAUUGGGCGUAAAGCGCACGUAGGCGGUUACUUAAGUCGGAUGUGAAAGCCCUUGGCUCAACUGAGGAAGUGCAUCCGAAACUGAGUAGCUAGAGUACGAAAGAGGGUCGCGGAAUUCCCGGUGUAGAGGUGAAAUUCGUAGAUAUCGGGAGGAACACCGGUGGCGAAGGCGGGUCUCUGGGCCGAUACUGACGCUGAGGAGCGAAAGCGUGGGGAGCAAACAGG